RNAcentral lists this ribosomal RNA (438 nucleotides) under Providencia stuartii. RNAcentral describes it as "bacterial SSU rRNA". It matches the Rfam family "Bacterial small subunit ribosomal RNA", at positions 60 to 491 of the family's 1533-position model. Lineage: Bacteria; Pseudomonadati; Pseudomonadota; Gammaproteobacteria; Enterobacterales; Morganellaceae. The record is from RNAcentral.
AGUCGAGCGGUAACAGGGGAAGCUUGCUUCUCGCUGACGAGCGGCGGACGGGUGAGUAAUGUAUGGGGAUCUGCCCGAUAGAGGGGGAUAACUACUGGAAACGGUGGCUAAUACCGCAUAAUCUCUUAGGAGCAAAGCAGGGGACCUUCGGGCCUUGCGCUGUCGGAUGAACCCAUAUGGGAUUAGCUAGUAGGUAAGGUAAUGGCUUACCUAGGCGACGAUCCCUAGCUGGUCUGAGAGGAUGAUCAGCCACACUGGGACUGAGACACGGCCCAGACUCCUACGGGAGGCAGCAGUGGGGAAUAUUGCACAAUGGGCGCAAGCCUGAUGCAGCCAUGCCGCGUGUAUGAAGAAGGCCCUAGGGUUGUAAAGUACUUUCAGUCGGGAGGAAGGCGUUGAUGUUAAUACCAUCAACGAGGACGUACCGACAGAAGAAGC